GGAGAGGUGGCUGAGCGGUUGAUAGCGCCGGUCUUGAAAACCGGAGUGGCGGCAACGUCAUCGGGGGUUCGAAUCCCUCCCUCUCCGC
Molecule: transfer RNA, 88 nt
Filed under: bacterium ADurb.Bin236
Lineage: Bacteria
Description: tRNA-Ser
Rfam family: tRNA
About the family: Transfer RNA (tRNA) molecules are approximately 80 nucleotides in length. Their secondary structure includes four short double-helical elements and three loops (D, anti-codon, and T loops). Further hydrogen bonds mediate the characteristic L-shaped molecular structure. tRNAs have two regions of fundamental functional importance: the anti-codon, which is responsible for specific mRNA codon recognition, and the 3' end, to which the tRNAs corresponding amino acid is attached (by aminoacyl-tRNA synthetases). tRNAs cope with the degeneracy of the genetic code in two manners: having more than one tRNA (with a specific anti-codon) for a particular amino acid; and 'wobble' base-pairing, i.e. permitting non-standard base-pairing at the 3rd anti-codon position.
Source: RNAcentral